RNAcentral lists this ribosomal RNA (465 nucleotides) under Vreelandella stevensii. Its description in RNAcentral is "partial 16S ribosomal RNA". It matches the Rfam family "Bacterial small subunit ribosomal RNA", at positions 338 to 795 of the family's 1533-position model. The record is from RNAcentral. Lineage: Bacteria; Pseudomonadati; Pseudomonadota; Gammaproteobacteria; Oceanospirillales; Halomonadaceae.
CCUACGGGGGGCUGCAGUGGGGAAUAUUGGACAAUGGGGGGAACCCUGAUCCAGCCAUGCCGCGUGUGUGAAGAAGGCCCUCGGGUUGUAAAGCACUUUCAGUGAGGAAGAACGCCUGGUGGUUAAUACCCAUCAGGAAAGACAUCACUCACAGAAGAGGCACCGGCUAACUCCGUGCCAGCAGCCGCGGUAAUACGGAGGGUGCGAGCGUUAAUCGGAAUUACUGGGCGUAAAGCGCGCGUAGGUGGCUUGAUAAGCCGGUUGUGAAAGCCCCGGGCUCAACCUGGGAACGGCAUCCGGAACUGUCAAGCUAGAGUGCAGGAGAGGAAGGUAGAAUUCCCGGUGUAGCGGUGAAAUGCGUAGAGAUCGGGAGGAAUACCAGUGGCGAAGGCGGCCUUCUGGACUGACACUGACACUGAGGUGCGAAAGCGUGGGUAGCAAACAGGAUUAGAUACCCUUGUAGUC